GCCGCUUUAGCUCAGUUGGUAGAGCAUAUCAUUCGUAAUGAUAGGGUCAGGUGUUCGAGUCACCUAAGCGGCACCA
This 76-nucleotide transfer RNA is filed under the name Devosia sp. RNAcentral describes it as "tRNA-Thr". It matches the Rfam family "tRNA". Rfam says of the family: Transfer RNA (tRNA) molecules are approximately 80 nucleotides in length. Their secondary structure includes four short double-helical elements and three loops (D, anti-codon, and T loops). The record is from RNAcentral. Lineage: Bacteria; Pseudomonadati; Pseudomonadota; Alphaproteobacteria; Hyphomicrobiales; Devosiaceae.